UUUCCCCAACAUCAAUUCAUAUUUGAUUUCUCAACAAAACUUUACAAAUUGUACCAUGUAUAAUAAUAAUAACAACUAAAUAGUUAGCAAUCCUGUGAUCAUCAGUCACCAUGCCCUCAACAAAAACACAGAAAUAUAUAAUAUCUUCAACAAUAUCACAAUCCAAUACUGAAACCUCUGAAGAGAAAGAGAUCUUUACUGAAAUCAUUAAUAUUCCCAGAACAUUGACCUUUACCGGGAACUUCAGCAUUCGAUGUUAAUGUCCUUGAAAAGAAAGUAGAACAUAGAUAGUGUUAGAACUGAGAAAAAAAAAAUGAAAGAAAUGAAUUGAAUAACCCGUAAAUGAGAAUAUUUUCAACCAAACUAAUUCGCUACAUUAUAUUCCAGGCCUAUGAUUUGUUGCAACACAGGCAAUUAUAGGCAAGGUUACAGAAAACUCGGUAUGGG
Molecule: long non-coding RNA, 447 nt
Filed under: Citrus maxima (pomelo)
Lineage: Eukaryota; Viridiplantae; Streptophyta; Magnoliopsida; Sapindales; Rutaceae
Description: long non-coding RNA (CMAX_LNC001273)
Source: RNAcentral